This 37-nucleotide transfer RNA is filed under the name Minutocellus polymorphus. RNAcentral describes it as "partial Selenocysteine transfer RNA". Lineage: Eukaryota; Bacillariophyta; Thalassiosirophyceae; Cymatosirales; Cymatosiraceae. The record is from RNAcentral.
UGGUCUGGCUGGGUCUUCAAACCCGGUGACGGCGAGG